RNAcentral lists this small RNA (237 nucleotides) under Salvator merianae (Argentine black and white tegu). RNAcentral's name for it is "7SK RNA (ENSSMRG00000012601.1)". The stretch from base 1 to 170 matches the Rfam family "7SK RNA". From Rfam's summary of the family: 7SK was discovered as an abundant small nuclear RNA in the mid-70s but a possible function has only recently been suggested. Two independent studies have found that 7SK RNA binds the CDK9/cyclin T complex (known as elongation factor P-TEFb). P-TEFb activates transcription by phosphorylating the C-terminal domain of RNA polymerase II. The record is from RNAcentral. Lineage: Eukaryota; Metazoa; Chordata; Lepidosauria; Squamata; Teiidae.
GGAAAUGAGGGCUCAUGACAUCUGUCAUGUAAUUUAUUCAGCGAUCUGGCUAACUAGGCAGGUGUCCCCUUCCUUCCCCACUCUUCCAUGUGCAUCCCUCCAAAGCUUCUGGUUCAAUGACAGAGGUCAACCAUCCAUGACAGAAAUGUUUCAUUCUACAGUCAAUGGACCUGGGACCCCUUGGUAUAGGGCAGGGUAGAAAUUGAAAUAAUAAAUAAAUAAAUAAAUAAAUGGUAU